AGACAAAGGUCUCUGUGACACACUCCAGGUCUGAGUGCAUUGGCAGCUUCCACCAAGGAGUACUUGGAGCUGUUGAGAGUCAUGAGAGGUUAUUACGGUGGACAAUGACCUAUGGAGAGGACGGGACUGGCUUCCUACCCUUGACCCAGGGAGUCAAGGGAAUGCCAGUUGAAGAGAGCAGCUGUCUUCCUUUUUUUUUCUCCUGGAUCCAAAGACGCUGUAAGCAGAUUCUUCUCUUUUCCGAUGCCUUAUCCUCCAGUGAGUGUGGUUGAAGGUCAUCAAUCAUGUAAACGGAGAGUUUAAAAACCCUGGCUAACGGUCUGACACAAAUAAAACUUACAUCUGAGUGGAGCUGAGCGUGUUCAAGGAUUUCAGGAAUCGGUUGAAGUCAGAGCUCAAAAAUGCCCUAGGCUUUUGCCUCCUACUCAGCUUGGGCAUCUGCUCCCUGAACUAAUUCAGGGGGCCCAAGUUCAUCCCUAAGGAGCCCCUAUCUUGAUCACUCCAGGAGGCUCAAGGUUACGGCCAGUCUCAAGCUUUCUGCCCACACGCCCUGCUUCCUGACAGGCCGUGUGAGUAUCCUAAUGUCGUGAUACCAGCCUUGGAAGCCUUGCCCAAUGUUUGAUGAGCAUUCACAUCGCUACAUCUAGAAGUGAUGCUCCACGGCUUGUAUUUGUAAAUAACUGAUGCUCAUUUUGUGAGAAGGACAGUGUCUCGGGAUUUCCACUGCUGUGAACAGACACCAUGACCAAGACAACUUAUAAAGGACACCAUUGGGGCUGGCUUACAGGUUCAGAAGUUUGGUCCAUUAUCAUCAAGGCAGGAAACAUGGCAGCAUCCAAGCAGGCAUGGUGCAGGAGGAGCUGAGAGUUCUACAUCUGUUCCAAAGGCAACCAGAAGACUCAGCAUCCUCAGGCAGCUGGGAGGGAAGUCUCAUAUCCCACCCCCACAGUGACUUACUUCCUCCAACAAGGCCACACCCACUCCAUUGAAGGCCACAUCUCCUAAUAAUGGCACUCCCUGGGCCAAGCGUAUUCCAACCACCACAGAUGGAUUCUUAGGUACAUGUUAUCUGUGUAGAGAGUAGAAACAUCAAAGAAUUCCUUAUGUGCAUUAAUAUUGGAGCGUUAAGAUUGGACAUUACAAAGCCUUAGAAAUUC
Molecule: long non-coding RNA, 1157 nt
Organism: Mastomys coucha (southern multimammate mouse)
Lineage: Eukaryota; Metazoa; Chordata; Mammalia; Rodentia; Muridae
Exons: 4
Source: RefSeq, a predicted model, not a curated record